This is a non-coding RNA of Oryza glumipatula, 206 nucleotides long. NCBI's taxonomy places the organism in Eukaryota, Viridiplantae, Streptophyta, Magnoliopsida, Poales, Poaceae. The record is from Rfam.
AAUAAGUGCAGCUUUUUACUGUUUAUCUCCAACGUUUGACUGUUCGUCUUAUUUAAUUUUUUUUAUGAUUAAUAUUUUGUUAUCAUUAGAUGAUAAAAUAUGAAUAGUACUCUAUGUGUACUAACAUUUUUUUUACUUUUUCAUAAAUUUAUCAAAUAAGAGGAACGGUAAAACGUUGGACACUGAUAUCCACAGUUGCGUUUAUU